Erinaceus europaeus (western European hedgehog) is the source of this 904-nucleotide non-coding RNA. The record is from the annotation of a RefSeq genome assembly. NCBI's taxonomy places the organism in Eukaryota, Metazoa, Chordata, Mammalia, Eulipotyphla, Erinaceidae.
CUCACUGCUUCCUGUCCAAGAGGUCACUUCCUGUUUGAGUAUGUUUGAGUUGCAAACAGUUGUUGGGCUGCUCUUAGCAGCUGUGCCAUUUUCUAACAAAGCCAAGAAAAAGAAAAGCAUGCUGGUGACUCUUAGCCUGCUUCUGGUUUUCCUGGCUCCUGCCAGCCAGUUAACUUUCAACUUGGAAGGAAGAAAGGCAUCCAUCACCAGGCAGACCGGCUCAUCUGUUGUAAUCACUUGUGGUGUUCUUGCUCAGACAAUCACCUACAUGCACUGGUACAAAUACCAAGAGGGAGAAGCCCCGGAGCGCCUUCUCUACUAUGAUUUCUCCAAAUCAAAGUUUGUGGUGGAAUCGGGAAUCAUUUCAGGAAAGUACCAUGCUUAUAAAUUUACAGAGAAUAGCUGCAAAUUCGUAAUUCGAAAUCUAGACAGAAACGAUAUCGGUGUGUAUUUCUGUGCUGCGUGGGACAGUCACAGUGAUUCAGCCUUGCCCAGAACUGCAGUGAAAAGUUUGCUUGUAUCUGCCAAGGGAAAGACCUUCGCCUGCCUCAUUUCCUGCCUCAACUUCAUUGUCUUUUGAAGGGGGGGGGGCGGGGAAACCUGGGGAACCAAUCAAUACCCUCUGCCCUUAUCCCCAGCUAUGUUCUAACUCCUCAAUGCAUCAUAAGACUUUUCACCUCUAGAUCUUAGAUCAGCCGCCUGGCAGAAAUAGCUUUUUGAGCUCCCUUAAGACCUAGGAGCUGGUAGAAUCCAUUCACUAUGCUUUUUCAAACAGAGAAGAUCAUCUUGGAUUGAGUUUUAGGGGAGACAUUUGGAAGAGAAAUGGAAAGGUAAUUGUGUUGACUCAUUUAAAAAAUUUUUUUAUUUAUAAAAAGGAAACAUUAACAAAACCACAGGAUAAGAG